Sinocyclocheilus rhinocerous is the source of this 207-nucleotide long non-coding RNA. RefSeq lists it as uncharacterized. The transcript has 4 exons. Lineage: Eukaryota; Metazoa; Chordata; Actinopteri; Cypriniformes; Cyprinidae. The record is from RefSeq and is a predicted model, not a curated record.
CAGGGCUCGGCUCUGUUAAGCACUCUGUGUGGAGCGCAGUGGAGGAAUCAGGAGCAGGAGCAGAUCCAGCAUGUCUUCAAGAGGUUUCUCUUUCACUAUUCUAAAGCACACAACUCCGUCGGCUCCGUCGAGAGAAAGUCUCACUCGGUUCAUCCGCUCAUGCGUCUCUCGCCGAAGCUCUCUCUGCGCAGGAAGAAGCAGCAGGUG